AAGGCAUACGGCUCAGUAACGCGUAGUCAACCUAACCUAUGGACGGGAAUAACCUCGGGAAACUGAGAAUAAUGCCCGAUAGAACAUUAUGCCUGGAAUGGUUUAUGUUCCAAAUGAUUUAUCGCCGUAGGAUGGGACUGCGGCCUAUCAGUUUGUUGGUGAGGUAAUGGCCCACCAAGACUAUUACAGGUACGGGCUCUGAGAGGAGUAGCCCGGAGAUGGGUACUGAGACACGGACCCAGGCCCUAUGGGGCGCAGCAGGCGAGAAAACUUUGCAAUGUGCGAAAGCACGACAAGGUUAAUCCGAGUGGUUUCUGCUAAAGAAACCUUUUGUCAGUCCUAGAAACACUGAUGAAUAAGGGGUGGGCAAGUUCUGGUGU
This 380-nucleotide ribosomal RNA is filed under the name uncultured archaeon. Its description in RNAcentral is "bacterial SSU rRNA". It matches the Rfam family "Archaeal small subunit ribosomal RNA", at positions 78 to 458 of the family's 1478-position model. The record is from RNAcentral.